ACCAGCACCUCAAGUGGUCAGGAGGAUUAUUGGGCCUAAAGCAUCCGUAGCCGGCUCUGUAAGUUUUCGGUUAAAUCCAUGUGCUCAACACAUGGGCUGCCGAAAAUACUGCAUAGCUAGGGAGUGGGAGAGGUAGACGGUACUCGGUAGGAAGGGGUAAAAUCCUUUGAUCUAUCGAUGACCAUCUGUGGCGAAGGCGGUCUACCAGAACACGUUCGACGGUGAGGGAUGAAAGCUGGGGGAGCAAACCGG
RNAcentral lists this ribosomal RNA (252 nucleotides) under uncultured archaeon. Its description in RNAcentral is "partial 16S ribosomal RNA". It matches the Rfam family "Archaeal small subunit ribosomal RNA", at positions 475 to 727 of the family's 1478-position model. The record is from RNAcentral.